This 253-nucleotide ribosomal RNA is filed under the name uncultured bacterium. RNAcentral describes it as "partial 16S ribosomal RNA". It matches the Rfam family "Bacterial small subunit ribosomal RNA", at positions 524 to 776 of the family's 1533-position model. The record is from RNAcentral.
UACAGAGGGGGCAAGCGUUAUUCGGAAUUAUUGGGCGUAAAGGGCGCGUAGGCGGCUUGGCAAGUGGAAGGUGAAAUCCCUCGGCUUAACCGAGGAACUGCCCUCCAAACUGCUUCGCUUGAGACCGGGAGAGGUGAGUGGAAUUCCCAGUGUAGCGGUGAAAUGCGUAGACAUUGGGAGGAACACCAGUGGCGAAGGCGGCUCACUGGACCGGUACUGACGCUGAUGCGCGAAAGCGUGGGGAGCAAACGGG